UACGUAGGGUGCAGGCGUUAAUCGGAAUUACUGGGCGUAAAGCGUGCGCAGGCGGUCUUUUAAGUCAGAUGUGAAAUCCCCGGGCUUAACCUGGGAACUGCGUUUGAAACUGGAAGGCUAGAGUGCGGAAGGGGCAACUGGAAUUCUCGGUGUAGCGGUGAAAUGCGUAGAUAUCGAGAGGAACACCUGCGGCGAAGGCGGGUUGCUGGGCCGACACUGACGCUGAUGCGCGAAAGCCAGGGGAGCGAACGGG
RNAcentral lists this ribosomal RNA (253 nucleotides) under uncultured bacterium. Its description in RNAcentral is "partial 16S ribosomal RNA". It matches the Rfam family "Bacterial small subunit ribosomal RNA", at positions 524 to 776 of the family's 1533-position model. The record is from RNAcentral.